UCCGGGGAUUUCCCAAUGGGGGAACCCGCAUGGCUGUUGAGGCCAUGCACUGUUGAGUGAAUACAUAGCUCAUCAGGGCGAACUCGGGGAACUGAAACAUCUCAGUACCCGAAGGAAUAGAAAUCAACCGAGAUUCUGUUAGUAGCGGCGAGCGAACGCGGAAGAGCCCAAACCAUCAGGUGCGCCUGAUGGGGUUGUAGGGCCGUCAAUAAAGGAUAAUUGGAGAAUUAGCUGAAGUGUCUGGGAAGGCACGGCACAGAGGGUUAGACCCCCGUAAGCGAAAGUUUGAAGAUGUCCGAGACGGUACCUGAGUAGGACGGGACACGAGAAAUCCCGUUUGAAUCUGGGGGGACCACCCUCCAAGGCUAAAUAUUACCCAGAGACCGAUAGUGUACCAGUACCGUGAGGGAAAGGUGAAAAGCACCUCGAAUAGAGGAGUGAAAUAGAUCCUGAAACCCUGUGUCUACAAGCAGUGGAAGCACUACUGAUCUUCGGAUCAUGUGCGACCGCGUGCCUUUUGCAUAAUGAGCCAACGAGUUGUCUGUCGGUGGCAGGUUAAGUUUUUAACGAAGCCACAGCGAAAGCGAGUCCGAAAUGGGCGUUAGUCAUCGGCAACAGACCCGAAACCGAGUGAUCUACCCCUGUCCAG
RNAcentral lists this ribosomal RNA (649 nucleotides) under Phycisphaerales bacterium. RNAcentral describes it as "partial 23S ribosomal RNA". It matches the Rfam family "Bacterial large subunit ribosomal RNA", at positions 103 to 743 of the family's 2925-position model. Lineage: Bacteria; Pseudomonadati; Planctomycetota; Phycisphaerae; Phycisphaerales. The record is from RNAcentral.